GGAAGUGUGCCCGAAAGAUAAGGACCUCCUUGAU
This 34-nucleotide transfer RNA is filed under the name Polypedates leucomystax (Java whipping frog). RNAcentral describes it as "partial tRNA-Ile". Lineage: Eukaryota; Metazoa; Chordata; Amphibia; Anura; Rhacophoridae. The record is from RNAcentral.